This 650-nucleotide ribosomal RNA is filed under the name uncultured bacterium. RNAcentral describes it as "bacterial SSU rRNA". It matches the Rfam family "Bacterial small subunit ribosomal RNA", at positions 8 to 706 of the family's 1533-position model. The record is from RNAcentral.
AGAGUUUGAUCCUGGCUCAGAACGAACGCUGGCGGCAGGCUUAACACAUGCAAGUCGAACGCCCCGCAAGGGGAGUGGCAGACGGGUGAGUAACGCGUGGGAAUCUACCGUACCCCACGGAAUAACGCAUGGAAACGUGUGCUAAUACCGUAUACGCCCUACGGGGGAAAGAUUUAUCGGGGUAUGAUGAGCCCGCGUUGGAAUAGCUAGUUGGUGGGGUAAAGGCCUACCAAGGCGACGAUCCAUAGCUGGUCUGAGAGGAUGAUCAGCCACAUUGGGACUGAGACACGGCCCAAACUCCUACGGGAGGCAGCAGUGGGGAAUAUUGGACAAUGGGCGCAAGCCUGAUCCAGCCAUGCCGCGUGAGUGAUGAAGGUCUUAGGAUUGUAAAGCUCUUUCACCGAUGAAGAUAAUGACGGUAGUCGGAGAAGAAGCCCCGGCUAACUUCGUGCCAGCAGCCGCGGUAAUACGAAGGGGGCUAGCGUUGUUCGGAAUUACUGGGCGUAAAGCGCACGUAGGCGGAUAUUUAAGUCAGGGGUGAAAUCCCGCAGCUCAACUGCGGAACUGCCUUUGAUACUGGGUAUCUCGAGUAUGGAAGAGGUGAGUGGAAUUCCGAGUGUAGAGGUGAAAUUCGUAGAUAUUCGGAGGAA